UCGUAACAAGGUUUCCGUAGGUGAACCUGCGGAAGGAUCAUUACCGAGUGCGGGCUGCCUCCGGGCGCCCAACCUCCCACCCGUGACUACCUAACACUGUUGCUUCGGCGGGGAGCCCCCCAGGGGCGAGCCGCCGGGGACCACUGAACUUCAUGCCUGAGAGUGAUGCAGUCUGAGCCUGAAUACAAAUCAGUCAAAACUUUCAACAAUGGAUCUCUUGGUUCCGGCAUCGAUGAAGAACGCAGCGAACUGCGAUAAGUAAUGUGAAUUGCAGAAUUCAGUGAAUCAUCGAGUCUUUGAACGCACAUUGCGCCCCCUGGCAUUCCGGGGGGCAUGCCUGUCCGAGCGUCAUUGCUGCCCUCAAGCCCGGCUUGUGUGUUGGGUCGUCGUCCCCCCCGGGGGACGGGCCCGAAAGGCAGCGGCGGCACCGUGUCCGGUCCUCGAGCGUAUGGGGCUUUGUCACCCGCUCGAUUAGGGCCGGCCGGGCGCCAGCCGGCGUCUCCAACCUUAUUUUUCUCAGGUUGACCUCGGAUCAGGUAGGGAUACCCGCUGAACUUAAGCAUAUCA
This 567-nucleotide unclassified non-coding RNA is filed under the name Aspergillus nidulans. RNAcentral's name for it is "sequence contains 18S rRNA gene, ITS1, 5.8S rRNA gene, ITS2, 28S rRNA gene". The stretch from base 198 to 351 matches the Rfam family "5.8S ribosomal RNA". The record is from RNAcentral. Lineage: Eukaryota; Fungi; Ascomycota; Eurotiomycetes; Eurotiales; Aspergillaceae.